UGGGGAAUUUUGGACAAUGGACGCAAGUCUGAUCCAGCCAUGCCGCGUGCGGGAAGAAGGCCUUCGGGUUGUAAACCGCUCUUGUCAGGGAAGAAACGCUCUGAGCUAAUACCUCGGAGGAAUGACGGUACCUGAAGAAUAAGCACCGGCUAACUACGUGCCAGCAGCCGCGGUAAUACGUAGGGUGCAAGCGUUAAUCGGAAUUACUGGGCGUAAAGCGUGCGCAGGCGGUGAUGUAAGACAGAUGUGAAAUCCCCGGGCUCAACCUGGGAACUGCAUUUGUGACUGCAUCGCUGGAGUGCGGCAGAGGGGGAUGGAAUUCCGCGUGUAGCAGUGAAAUGCGUAGAUAUGCGGAGGAAUACCGAUGGCGAAGGCAAUCCCCUGGGCCUGCACUGACGCUCAUGCACGAAAGCGUGGGGAGCAAACA
This 427-nucleotide ribosomal RNA is filed under the name uncultured bacterium. Its description in RNAcentral is "bacterial SSU rRNA". It matches the Rfam family "Bacterial small subunit ribosomal RNA", at positions 355 to 774 of the family's 1533-position model. The record is from RNAcentral.